RNAcentral lists this long non-coding RNA (242 nucleotides) under Elaeis guineensis (African oil palm). RNAcentral describes it as "long non-coding RNA (EGUI_LNC071806)". The record is from RNAcentral. Lineage: Eukaryota; Viridiplantae; Streptophyta; Magnoliopsida; Arecales; Arecaceae.
ACCUCCUCGAUCGUCCAGACUUCUCCGAUAAUGAACUUCUACAUUCAUCCAUCGGGCCACCCCGAAGGUCCUCUGGGGCUCACUGUCAACCGACCUUCUACAGCAACCAACUACCCCCCCGAACUUCUUUCGGACUUCGUCAGCGUCCGAGCUUUCACGACAACGAGAUUUCUACGGUAACCAGACUCCACCCGAGUUUCUACGACGGUCGACCACCCCCCGAAUCCUAAUCGAGCUCCCGC